Molecule: ribosomal RNA, 254 nt
Filed under: uncultured bacterium
Lineage: Bacteria
Description: partial 16S ribosomal RNA
Rfam family: Bacterial small subunit ribosomal RNA
Source: RNAcentral
CACGUAGGGUGCGAGCGUUGUCCGGAAUUAUUGGGCGUAAAGAGCUCGUAGGCGGUGCGUCGCGUCGGCCGUGAAAACCUGCAGCUUAACUGUGGGCUUGCGGUCGAUACGGGCAUCACUGGAGUUCGGCAGGGGAGACUGGAAUUCCUGGUGUAGCGGUGAAAUGCGCAGAUAUCAGGAGGAACACCGGUGGCGAAGGCGGUUCUCUGGGCCUGUACUGACGCUGAGGAACGAAAGCGUGGGGAGCGAACAGG